AGAGAAAUACGUUUCAUUCUAACGUAAUUUGGAGAGAAAUACGUUUGAGUCAAACGUAACUGCAAAUUGCAUUUUAGGUCUGGGGGAACGUAAUUUUUGUGAUACAGGGUUGCACAAAGAGAACGACCUGGAGCCCAAGAGCCGGAGUCUCGUCGGCUUAAAGCUAUUAUAUUUCUUUUGGACGGGAAACACUCCGUCGCUUCUCCUCAAGGGGAGUCGGAUGAGAGGAGUGCUACGUUCCCACUUUUCGAUGCCGAGUAGGCUACGAAGCAGCAAGCUCGUUAGCUUAGCGCAGACUAAACGUAGCGGGGGAGAGCUAGCGUGGCUCUACGUGAAGGUGACGCAAUCACACAACGGACAAAAAAGGCUUUAGUGAGACUUUUCUAUCACUCUUUACCAGGCACGUGCACAGAUAGACCCCUAGUGGUGCCCUUUUUGCUGGAGACACAUUUUUCUCAUUCAUCGGUAUUUAAGAAUAAAAGUUACUCUCUCUGUCAUCAAGUCCCCAAAAAUGUGUUUUAAUAUCCAACGGGGUAUUUAUUUGAGUUCUUGUGAGAAUUUCUCCCCGACAUGCUCCGCGGCGCUCACGGCAUUGGGUGUCCUUUUUUUGUGUUUGAGCACCUGCCCCCCACAAUGUCCGCACAUGCCUGCUUGAGAGCCCCGACACUAGUGAAGCUGCCCUCAACCUGCGUUUCCUCUGGGCAGGAUUACACAGCUAGCUUACAUUUUCUUUAUGAAUAAAGAUGAAUUAUUAUAUGGCAACAACAGUACAAGCGUUCUGAUUGGCUAAUGGGCCACUUCGUUGCACGACAUGAGACCAACAGCCAACUAUCCAGCGUCAGUAUUACAGCCAAACAAACGGUAAAUAACAAUGUUCGACAACACGUGGUGCUUGUUGUCAAAUCUAAGAGCCAAUCAGCUCUCUGAUGUGGCCACGGCCAGCCGUUGGUUUCCCAUCAUGCAACGAGUGGAGUCAACGGUUUUCCGUUGAGUUAGUGAAUAUGUGAAACGUCGAAGUACGAGGAGGAACGUUGGAGUUUGAUAGAGGAGCGACAACGGAACGGGACGCCAUUUCAACAUAGAAGUUACAACGAGCAGGUUGGUUCUCUUUGUUUCUUUAUCACUUUAAACUGAUGGAACCAGUUCUGGAGGAAGUAUUCACAUCAUGUACUGAGGUAGAGUUCCAGGUACUGCAGUACGUAAACACGUCCAUACCUUUUUACUAUGAUACAUCACAAAUGUACUCGUUACCUCAGAGGUACAUAUUGUACUUUUUACUGGACGACACCUCAGAGGUACAUAUUGUACUUUUUACUGAACUACUGGUAAUAUAAAACUGAAUUAUUGAAGGGACUGUUAUGUUCAAGCUCCUGCAAAUUCACAUUUAUUUAGCCUGAUAUUAAUUGCUUAGACUUGUUAAAUAUUUCCACUCUGUAAUGAUAUUACUGUUACACUACACUUAUUUAGCUUCAUAUUUAUUGCUUAUACUGUUUAUAUUUCCUCUCUGUUUCUGAUAUAAGACAUUUUUCUAGCUUCUUAUUCAUUUCUUAGACUGUUAAAUAAGUGACACACAGUUGUCUCCAGGAGAAAUGCUGAGGCGGUUGGUGAAGCAGCAAGUCGACGAGGUCGUUGACGAGGCUUUUGAGCAGUUGGACACGUUGAUAGCAGCGUAUGAGGACAUCGUUUCUCGUUUAGGAGAACAUGAGCUACACACAUCAGACGUCCAGCAGAUGUUGGUGAUGAAACAAGAGGCUCCCCCUGAACAGCAGGACUGCAGCUCCAGUCUGGACCAGGAGGACCCAGAGGAAGAGGAAGAGGAAGAGACACCGAAGAGACACUCUGGAGCCAAAACAGGAGUGAAACCAAUCAGUUGUUCAGUUUGUGGUAAAACAUUCAGACAUGUACGCAGUCUGAAACGACACGCAGCUGUUCAUACAGGGGGGAAUCUAUGCAGUUGUUCAGUUUGUGGUAAAACAUUCAGUCAAGCAUGCAGUCUAAAACGACACUCAACUAUUCACACAGAGGAGAAACUAUUCAGUUGUUCAGUUUGUGGUAAAACAUUCAGAGAAGCACGCACUCUGACACGACACUCAGCUGUUCAUACAGGGGGGAAUCUAUGCAGUUGUUCAGUUUGUGGUAAAACAUUCAGUCAAGCAUGCAAUCUAAAACGACACUCAACUAUUCACACAGAGGAGAAACUAUUCAGUUGUUCAGUUUGUGGUAAAACAUUCAGAGAAGCACGCAAUCUGAAACGACACUCAGCUGUUCAUUCUGGAAAAACAAAUUAGCGUUCAGUUUUCUAUAAAAGUUUCCCUCUUCUCCAUGAUUUAAAAAUAUCACAAUUGCAUUGAUGAGAUCAUAAGAAAUAAAUGAGACGGUGUUGUUGUUGAUGUUGUUAGCAGAGUUGUUGUUCAUGAUAAGGUUGAAGAAGUUUUCUUGCUUGGGUUGCUGCAAGUCUUGAACCUAUAUGAUAUAUAUAUUAUUUUUGUGGCUUUUAUUUCUGUUAAUUUUUGCUGUUUAUUAUUGACAAUGUGCAACUGUUUAAAGACUAAAUACUUGCAACGUCGAUAUCGCUGUUUCCACAACUUCCGGCGAUGGCUCGAGUGCUGAGCGGUACACACCAGAGAGACCGCGGGGAGACAUGACGGUGGAGACCUCCGUAAGAGGUGGUCUUGUAAAAGUAUUACUCCUUUAUGAUUUAACUAUAAUAUUCUGAAAUACCUGGCUUCAUGCUUUAAUUGUUUUGACUCGUCUUUAUCUAUUGUUAUUUAUUUUUGUAUUGUGUCUUUAUGUAAAGCCUCAAUGUUCUUUAUUUACAUGCCUAAAGGUAAGUUUAUGAUAAUAAACACAUUAUUAUAAACAGAGUAUUUUUGCCACAGCUGAAGCUGAAGUUUUGUGAUGGUCUAAAAAUAAUAAUAAAAUACUCUGCUUUAAAUGGUAA
Molecule: long non-coding RNA, 2941 nt
Organism: Pseudoliparis swirei
Lineage: Eukaryota; Metazoa; Chordata; Actinopteri; Perciformes; Liparidae
Exons: 2
Source: RefSeq, a predicted model, not a curated record